RNAcentral lists this ribosomal RNA (405 nucleotides) under uncultured bacterium. RNAcentral's name for it is "partial 16S ribosomal RNA". It matches the Rfam family "Bacterial small subunit ribosomal RNA", at positions 30 to 525 of the family's 1533-position model. The record is from RNAcentral.
AUUGAACGCUGGCGGCAGGCCUAACACAUGCAAGUCGAACGAGUGGCGGACGGGUGAGUAAUGUCUGGGAAACUGCCUGAUGGAGGGGGAUAACUACUGGAAACGGUAGCUAAUACCGCAUACCAUCGGAUGUGCCCAGAUGGGAUUAGCUAGUAGGUGGGGUAAAGGCUCACCUAGGCGACGAUCCCUAGCUGGUCUGAGGGGAUGACCGGCAAGCGUGGAACUGUGACACGGCCCAGACUCCUACGGGGGGCAUCAGUGGGGAAUAUUGCACAAGGGGCGCAAGCCUGAUGCAGCCAUGCCGCGUGUAUGAAGAAGGCCUUCGGGUUGUAAAGUACUUUCAGCGGGGAGGCGUUACCCGCAGAAUAAGCACCGGCUAACUCCGUGCCAGCAGCCGCGGUAAUA